RNAcentral lists this ribosomal RNA (774 nucleotides) under uncultured Neocallimastigales. RNAcentral's name for it is "partial large subunit ribosomal RNA". It matches the Rfam family "Eukaryotic large subunit ribosomal RNA", at positions 24 to 641 of the family's 3401-position model. Lineage: Eukaryota; Fungi; Neocallimastigomycota; Neocallimastigomycetes; Neocallimastigales. The record is from RNAcentral.
UACGACUACAUAUCAGGCAUAUCAAUAAGCGGAGGAAAAGAAACUAACAAGGAUUCCCUUAGUAACGGCGAGUGAAGCGGGAAGAGCUCAAAUUUGAAAUCUUCAAGGUUCUACCUUGACGAAUUGUAGUUUAAAGAAGUGUUUUCUGUUGGAGUUUCGGUAAAAGUUCUUUGGAAUAGGACAUCAUAGAGGGUGAGAAUCCCGUAUUUGACCAUUUAUUUCAGCUGUGUGAUACACUUUCAAAGAGUCGGAUUGUUUGGGAAUGCAGUCCAAAAUGGGUGGUAAAUUUCAUCUAAAGCUAAAUAUUGGCGAGAGACCGAUAGCGAACAAGUACCGUGAGGGAAAGAUGAAAAGAACUUUGAAAAGAGAGUUAAACAGUACGUGAAAUUGUCAAAAGGGAAGCGUUUGACACCAGUGUUGUUUUUCCGAAAAUCAAUUACGAAUGUUUUGUUUUUGAGGAGUUAUGACUUCAUCGGCUUGCUCCUUUCUUUACGAAACUUUCCUAAUGCACUUUUCGGUUAACAAGUCAACAUCAAUUUCUUUUGUUGUAAAAGGGUAAGAGGAAGGUGGCUUGCGCUUCGGCUCAAGUGUUUAUAGCCUUUUAUCUCUGCAAUCGGAGAGAUUGAGGUCUGCAGCGUAGAUCCUUCGGGGUUAGAUACAUUGGUGCUAAGCUAUAGCCUUGUAUAGACAACUUGUUGACUAUGCUCAGUCAUGUAGCUUACUCGCUGAUGCUAUUUUACCUACGCUUAGGAUGUUGAACGCGCACAGAGUCUC